Molecule: ribosomal RNA, 269 nt
Filed under: uncultured bacterium
Lineage: Bacteria
Description: partial 16S ribosomal RNA
Rfam family: Bacterial small subunit ribosomal RNA
Source: RNAcentral
GUCCUAGCCCUAAACGAUGCGCACUAGGUAGCGGCUCGUUCCGACGAGUCGCUGCCGGAGCAAAAGCAUUAAGUGCGCCGCCUGGGGAGUACGGCCGCAAGGCUAAAACUCAAAGGAAUUGACGGGGGCUCACACAAGCGGUGGAGGAUGUUGCUCAAUUCGAAGCAACGCGAAGAACCUUACCAGGACUUGACAUGCUCGUGGUAGGAGCCGGAAACGGUGACGAACUCCGCAAGGAGUAGCGAGCACAGGUGUUGCAUGGCUGUCGU